Molecule: unclassified non-coding RNA, 342 nt
Filed under: Hevea brasiliensis (rubber tree)
Lineage: Eukaryota; Viridiplantae; Streptophyta; Magnoliopsida; Malpighiales; Euphorbiaceae
Source: RNAcentral
UUUAUUUGGCCGAAAGUGCUAUGGUAUGGUGGAGGAGAAGAAUGGCUGAUAUGGAGAAGGGUACUUGUAGUAUUCAGAUGUGGGAAGAAUUCAAAAGGGAAUUUAAGAGGUAGUUUUAUCCUGAGAAUGCAACUAAUGAAGCUAGGGCCAAGCUUAGACGGCUUACACAAAAAGGAACCAUACGUGAGUAUGUCAAGGAGUUUUCAGAGAUUCUUCUGGAGAUACCCGACUUCCCAGAUUCAGAAGCACUAUUUUUCUUCAAAGAUGGACUCCAAACUUAGGUGAAGCUUGAGGUUAAAAGACUUGGUGCCUAAGACCUUGCUGCUGCCAUUGCAAUUGCCG